GCCGUUGUAGCCCAAUGGUAGAGGCACCAGGUCGAGGGCCUGGACAGCGCGGGUUCGACCCCCGCCGACGGUA
RNAcentral lists this transfer RNA (73 nucleotides) under Longispora fulva. It matches the Rfam family "tRNA". From Rfam's summary of the family: Transfer RNA (tRNA) molecules are approximately 80 nucleotides in length. The record is from Rfam by way of RNAcentral. Lineage: Bacteria; Bacillati; Actinomycetota; Actinomycetes; Micromonosporales; Micromonosporaceae.